Molecule: ribosomal RNA, 374 nt
Filed under: uncultured Bacteroidota bacterium
Lineage: Bacteria; Pseudomonadati; Bacteroidota
Description: bacterial SSU rRNA
Rfam family: Bacterial small subunit ribosomal RNA
Source: RNAcentral
UAGUGAGUUUGAUCCUGGCUCAGGAUGAACGCUAGCGGCAGGCUUAACACAUGCAAGUCGAGCGCGUCCAGCAAUGGGGAGCGGCAAACGGGUGCGGAACACGUACGCAAUCUGCCCUUCACUGGGGAAUAGCCUUCUGAAAAGGAGAUUAAUACCCCAUAAAAUAGCAAGGUGGCAUCACCUAACUAUUAAAGUUCCGGCGGUGAAGGAUGAGCGUGCGUCCUAUUAGGUAGUUGGUAGGGUAACGGCCUACCAAGCCGACGAUAGGUAGCUGGUGUGAGAGCACGACCAUCCACACGGGCACUGAGACACGGGGCCCGACUCCUACGGGAGGCAGCAGUGAGGAAUAUUGCACAAUGGGCGCAAGCCUGAUG